AUUGUGCAGCGUGGCAUCAAUAGGCUUGAUAAACAAUGUGUUAUUUUUUAGCUGAACGUUACCUUCCGCGGUGGUCAUCUCGCCAUCCAGGGGAAUAUCAAGAUGUAAGCGAGCGCUCACAUCCCCAUCCAGUUGCAGAUCGGACAACGCCGCACCCAGAGAUGCUUUCAACGGCGUCGCGUUAAAGUAAGGCCCCACAUCUUUACCCGGCCCCUUAACAUCGGCGUCAAUCAGCAGCUUUUCUCGCGAAUAGUCAGGGAUCGCCGCCUCCAGGUUACUGGCGGUGACUUUACCCAGCAUGACUUUAUCGGCCUUCAUCCACAAGCCGUCAUUGAUAAAGUUAAGGUCGAUAUUCAGCCCGGUCAGUGCGGGCCAGUCGGGUUGAAAAGCAAAGGUGGCGUUCUUGAGCGGCAC
This 414-nucleotide non-coding RNA is filed under the name Klebsiella indica. The record is from RNAcentral. Lineage: Bacteria; Pseudomonadati; Pseudomonadota; Gammaproteobacteria; Enterobacterales; Enterobacteriaceae.